UACGUAGGGAGCAAGCGUUGUUCGGAUUUACUGGGCGUAAAGGGCGCGUAGGCGGCAAAUUAAGUCAGCUGUGAAAUCUCCGAGCUUAACUCGGAACUGUCAGCUGAUACUGAUCUGCUAGAGUGCGGAAGGGGCAAUCGGAAUUCUUGGUGUAGCAGUGAAAUGCGUAGAUAUCAAGAGGAACACCAGUGGCGAAGGCGAGUCCCUGGACAACACCUGACACUGAGGCACGAAAGCUAGGGGAGCAAACAGG
RNAcentral lists this ribosomal RNA (253 nucleotides) under uncultured bacterium. RNAcentral's name for it is "partial 16S ribosomal RNA". It matches the Rfam family "Bacterial small subunit ribosomal RNA", at positions 524 to 776 of the family's 1533-position model. The record is from RNAcentral.